This 270-nucleotide ribosomal RNA is filed under the name Bacillus sp. ISOM194_OTU31608. RNAcentral's name for it is "partial 16S ribosomal RNA". It matches the Rfam family "Bacterial small subunit ribosomal RNA", at positions 29 to 289 of the family's 1533-position model. Lineage: Bacteria; Bacillati; Bacillota; Bacilli; Caryophanales; Bacillaceae. The record is from RNAcentral.
ACGAACGCUGGCGGCGUGCCUAAUACAUGCAAGUCGAGCGAAUUUCAGGGAGCUUGCUCUCUGGAAUUAGCGGCGGACGGGUGAGUAACACGUGGGCAACCUGCCUGUAAGACUGGGAUAACUUCGGGAAACCGGAGCUAAUACCGGAUACGUUCUUUUCUCGCAUGAGGGAAGAUGGAAAGACGGUUUCGGCUGUCACUUACAGAUGGGCCCGCGGCGCAUUAGCUAGUUGGUGGGGUAAUGGCUCACCAAGGCGACGAUGCGUAGCCG